Molecule: ribosomal RNA, 460 nt
Filed under: uncultured bacterium
Lineage: Bacteria
Description: partial 16S ribosomal RNA
Rfam family: Bacterial small subunit ribosomal RNA
Source: RNAcentral
CCUACGGGUGGCAGCAGUGAGGAAUAUUGGUCAAUGGGCGGAAUCCUGAACCAGCCAAGUAGCGUGCAGGAUGACGGCCCUACGGGUUGUAAACUGCUUUUAUACGGGAAUAACGCGCCUUACGUGUAGGGCUUUGCAUGUACCGUAUGAAUAAGGACCGGCUAAUUCCGUGCCAGCAGCCGCGGUAAUACGGAGGGUCCGGGCGUUAUCCGGAUUUAUUGGGUUUAAAGGGAGCGUAGGCCGGAUGUCAAGCGUGCUGUGAAAUGUCCGGGCUCAACCCGGGCCUUGCAGCGCGAACUGGAGGGCUAGAGUCCGCGUAAAGCAGGCGGAAUGCGUGGUGUAGCGGUGAAAUGCUUAGAUAUGACGAAGAACACCGAUUGCGAAGGCAGCUUGCUGGAGCGGAACUGACGCUGAUGCUCGAAAGCGAGGGUAUCGAACAGGAUUAGAUACCCGUGUAGUC